Long non-coding RNA from Quercus lobata, 380 nucleotides. RefSeq lists it as uncharacterized. The transcript has 3 exons. Lineage: Eukaryota; Viridiplantae; Streptophyta; Magnoliopsida; Fagales; Fagaceae. The record is from RefSeq and is a predicted model, not a curated record.
AAAAAAAAAAAAAAAAAAAAAGUGCUGGAUACAGAAAGAAGUAGAGGGUUCUCCGUUCCUCUUCAGACGUAGAGCACCGCUGCAAGCACAUAGAGGAAGAAAAAUCUAUGGGCAUCAACACCGUUAGGCUACAUAUCUGCCACCAUCAAAUCGUCGGAACCGGUUCCGGGUUACGUUUUUGGUCCAGCACCACCCAUCUCCGGCUCCAUUCAAUCACAGCCUCAACGGUGAUUUUGGUUUAGGGUUAUGUUUCUCUGCUCUGUUAGUUGUCUGCCCCCAUCACUUCUCUUCAACGGUGUAUUAGGAAGAUUAGUCAUCCCUGACUUAUAAGACUUUUGGCUACUAUUCGAGAAGAACUACUGAAUUAAAUUGAAAGGAAA